This is a long non-coding RNA of Macadamia integrifolia, 2269 nucleotides long. RefSeq lists it as uncharacterized. The record is from RefSeq and is a predicted model, not a curated record. The transcript is spliced from 2 exons. NCBI's taxonomy places the organism in Eukaryota, Viridiplantae, Streptophyta, Magnoliopsida, Proteales, Proteaceae.
UUGUUUUUAUUAUAAGUUCAUUGCUAGGUAUUGUUUUGAAGUCCAACAAUGUUAAACUAUAAUGUAGCAGUGUAGUCAUUGAACUACAACAUAGUAGGGUCAGCAUGUGAUGUGAUCCUUGCGGGGGGUGAUUCAGCACUAGCUGCUAGUGACUGGAUGGGUUUCGUCAAAGUCUAAUGUUCCUUAGAGAUAUUCUUACCUUAUCAAGAGAUCUAGAUCCUUGAGUGUGGGCGAGGGAUAUUUCCUCCCUAUGGAGGCUUGAAGCUAGAUGAUCUAAAGCUAAUUUGUUUGCAACGGAUGAGUGGAGUGGUUGUGGUUAUAUGUAAUGGUUUGUUCUUUUAUGUGCUUCUACUAUAUUUUCUUGAAACUUCCUGUUCUUUUCAAUGAUAAAUACCUGGCUGAUCCUGGGUGAAAAAGGUCAGAAACCAUGAAGUGAAGUUCUUGAAUUAUUUUGGUAUCAAUGCUGGAUUGUCUUGGAUGAUCUCGGUCGACUUAAGACCAUGGCUAGUUCUAUGGUUUCUUUCUAAUAUACUUAAUAUUUUGACCAUAGUUUUCAAGGCAUUGAGGCUCUUUCUCAGCUCCAAGGCAACAACACGUCCCGUUGGCACUUCACAAGUUUAUGUUGAUUUAUGUUUGUUGUUUUGUUUUUUUUAUUAUACUUAUAUCUUAUCCUAUGCUUUGUUUAUUUUAUUUUUUUCUUCUUCUUGUAUUAGGUCAUUACUAGCAUAAUUAUAUCAAAUUGCAUUAUGCAUAAUUAUAUAAAAUUAUCAUUGCUAUAUUACAUAUAGUCAUAUACUACAUGCUUAGACAGGUGCCUUGUCGCCUAGGCACCCCUCCAACGCCUUAGGUCGCCUAGUCGCCUUGACAAAUAUGAUUUUAACAUUUUUUAAGGCCAGUGGUAAUCCAUAAUAAUUCUGUUUUAUUAUAAAUAAUGUUGUUCUCACAUAUGAGGCGCUAAACUUAGAUAGUAUAAGCUGGUUUAUUGCUUUGUAUUUCUUCAUAAAGAAGCUUCUGCUCUAUUUUUUUUUUUGGGAUGGAAUGUAAUUGCUAGUCAAUUUGGCCUGUUUCAUGCUUUAUUAUCUCUUUUCAGAAUUUUUAUGGUCAAUUUUAUUUUCGUUGCACACCCUUCAAUCUUUUGAACUAUUUACUCUUUAAGGCUUUAAGCUAUGUGAGCUCCCAAUCAAAAGUGUUCAAAGAUACCAAAAUAUGUAAUAUCCCUACUGCAGGUAUCCAACCCCAAGUAAGGAUCAACAAACAACUCCUAUAACACUACUGUAGGUACAGAUAUCAAAAUAUGUAAUAGCCCUCAAAACAAUAACAAAAUAACUUCCUAAUAAUCACAAUAUCAAUAACUAACAGUGGCCGAUAUCCUAGCUUAAGAAACACAACUGAAAUGGACUAAAACAACUAAUCGGUUAGGGCCAGAUUAGGUUAAAACUCAGAAAAUUAUGUCAUAAACAAAACCUCUGAAAAAAAGCUCUAUUAGGUUCAAUAUUACUAUCGAAUGGAGGGAUAUAUGGAGAUCUAAAACAUAAAGAACAACUUGAGUUGAUGGAUGGAUCAGGAGAUAGGACAACUCUAGAUUUAGGGUAGAGUUUGAGAGAGUAUUGAUUUCUUAGCAACUACGCCUCAGAUGGCCCUAUUUUAAUGUGGAAGUAGGUUACAAGGUAACUACCCCCAUUGUAUUACAACUCCAACAAAACAAAUAAGACUCACUAACUAGCUUGACAAUAAUCAGAAAUAAACCCAGGAGAACAAUAGGGAAAUAACCACCAAAUAUCCCUAAAGGACUCAAGACUGAAGCAACAACAAAACCCAAACUGAUAGGAGAGAGAAGAACCUGCAAUAGGGCUGGAGAGAGAGCUGCAGCUGUAGCUGUGUAGCUCAGAGCUGCAACUGGGGUCGAUUGUAGGCCCCAGCAAGGAUACAAAGACCCCAAAGUUGAAGGUCUUCUGAUGGAUGGUUUGCUAGAUAUGUACUUUCUUGAUUUCAGCCCUAAGUGAGAGAAAACUGAGGGAAUCUUCAAGAUCUGUAGUAGGGCUGCUUGGGCAGCAAGAAGGAGAGGAUAGAUUGGGUGGCUGUGAACACUCUCUAAAAAGGACUUAUAGAUCAGAGGUUAAUUGGGGAAGGAAGAGGAGAUCGAUCUCUCUCCUAAUUCCUCUAAGGGUGUUGGUCGAUUCUGUUUUGGGGGGAUCUGAACAGGUCUGAUUUUGUCACUAACAGUAAACAGUAACAGUAGGUAAUGACAGCAGCAGAAAAUGAGAGAAAA